CAGAUCAUAACAAGCAUGGACAAAUUGCUGCAGUACAACAGUCAGUUCAGAGGUCCUCCACUGCAAAACACGAACCAUGUAGCCUGAAGAUGUCUCCAAAUUCUUAUAUGGAAAGAAAUUCCCUUCCUUUCCAGACAAAGUACCUGAAGUACCAUAAUUGGGUAAAGUGAUCCGUUGAACAUGCUCAAUUAUAUUGUGCAACGAUUUGCCUAGAUCUGACCGGAACUUCUGAUUAUUCCCAUCUGUCAACAAGACAUCAACAUCAUUAAUUCCACAAGAUGAAUCCAUCAGAAAAGAUUUAUCUGUAGGCUUCCAGGAGAUGUAACCACCAACUUGAGGGGAAUUUGAUGCAUCAAGAUGUUUUG
Molecule: unclassified non-coding RNA, 365 nt
Filed under: Hevea brasiliensis (rubber tree)
Lineage: Eukaryota; Viridiplantae; Streptophyta; Magnoliopsida; Malpighiales; Euphorbiaceae
Source: RNAcentral